AGCUGGUCUGAGUGCAGUGGUGUUUACAACUAAUUGAUCACAACCAGUUACAGAUUUCUUUGUUUGAUCUCCACUCCCACUUCUUCACUUGACUAGCCUUAA
Molecule: Y RNA, 102 nt
Organism: Callithrix jacchus (white-tufted-ear marmoset)
Lineage: Eukaryota; Metazoa; Chordata; Mammalia; Primates; Cebidae
Rfam family: Y RNA
About the family: Y RNAs are components of the Ro ribonucleoprotein particle (Ro RNP), in association with Ro60 and La proteins.
Source: Ensembl